ACUCCUGACUGACCGAUAGUGAACCAGUACCGUGAGGGAAAGGCGAAAAGAACCCCGGCGAGGGGAGUGAAAAAGAACCUGAAACCGUGUACGUACAAGCAGUGGGAGCACGCUUAGGCGUGUGACUGCGUACCUUUUGUAUAAUGGGUCAGCGACUUAUAUUCUGUAGCAAGGUUAACCGAAUAGGGGAGCCGAAGGGAAACCGAGUCUUAACUGGGCGUUAAGUUGCAGGGUAUAGACCCGAAACCCGGUGAUCUAGCCAUGGGCAGGUUGAAGGUUGGGUAACACUAACUGGAGGACCGAACCGACUAAUGUUGAAAAAUUAGCGGAUGACUUGUGGCUGGGGGUGAAAGGCCAAUCAAACCGGGAGAUAGCUGGUUCUCCCCGAAAGCUAUUUAGGUAGCGCCUCGUGAAUUCAUCUCCGGGGGUAGAGCACUGUUUCGGCAAGGGGGUCAUCCCGACUUACCAACCCGAUGCAAACUGCGAAUACCGGAGAAUGUUAUCACGGGAGACACACGGCGGGUGCUAACGUCCGUCGUGAAGAGGGAAACAACCCAGACCGCCAGCUAAGGUCCCAAAGUCAUGGUUAAGUGGGAAACGAUGUGGGAAGGCCCAGACAGCCAGGAUGUUGGCUUAGAAGCAGCCAUCAUUUAAAGAAAGCGUAAUAGCUCACUGGUCGAGUCGGCCUGCGCGGAAGAUGUAACGGGGCUAAACCAUGCACCGAAGCUGCGGCAGCGACGCUUAUGCGUUGUUGGGUAGGGGAGCGUUCUGUAAGCCUGCGAAGGUGUGCUGUGAGGCAUGCUGGAGGUAUCAGAAGUGCGAAUGCUGACAUAAGUAACGAUAAAGCGGGUGAAAAGCCCGCUCGCCGGAAGACCAAGGGUUCCUGUCCAACGUUAAUCGGGGCAGGGUGAGUCGACCCCUAAGGCGAGGCCGAAAGGCGUAGUCGAUGGGAAACAG
RNAcentral lists this ribosomal RNA (957 nucleotides) under Shigella sonnei. Its description in RNAcentral is "partial 23S ribosomal RNA". It matches the Rfam family "Bacterial large subunit ribosomal RNA", at positions 472 to 1428 of the family's 2925-position model. The record is from RNAcentral. Lineage: Bacteria; Pseudomonadati; Pseudomonadota; Gammaproteobacteria; Enterobacterales; Enterobacteriaceae.